UCUUCCGUAGUAUAGUGGUCAGUAUGUGAGCUUGUCAUCUGUUGACUUCGCUCGAGACCCGGGUUCAAUUCCCGGCGGGAGAG
RNAcentral lists this transfer RNA (83 nucleotides) under Echria macrotheca. RNAcentral's name for it is "tRNA-Asp". It matches the Rfam family "tRNA". From Rfam's summary of the family: Transfer RNA (tRNA) molecules are approximately 80 nucleotides in length. The record is from RNAcentral. Lineage: Eukaryota; Fungi; Ascomycota; Sordariomycetes; Sordariales; Schizotheciaceae.